GUUUUAUUUUUUAAAGGAGCCGCCCGCUGUGAGCCUUCAUGUGGUGCAAAGGCCGCCACACUGAACUCACAGACCUCCCUGAGCUGCACGGUCGGUCGAUCUCCAGGAACUCUGCGCCACUGGCAGUGUCUUCUGUUGGAUACUCCGGCUGUGACCCUCUUGUCCAUCUGCUUUUACUUUGCAGGAGGCAGAAAACGUGGUCUCAAGCACUGACCUCCAUCUGGAAUCAACUGUUUGAGCUUGUUCAGUAACAAUAUCACCCUUACAGGACAAGGUCAAUAACAAUUACAACUGAAAUAAGAUUAAGAUUGCACAGCUGGGCCCUCCAUCUGUACUGAGGCAGCAGAGUACAUUGACGACUGCUGCUCAGAAUCUCCCAAAAGUGUUAAUUGGAAACCAAAUCUCACCUUGGCUGCAGCAUCCCAUAAGGAUGAAAGCAUCAACAGUGGAACCAUAUGCUCUCUUAAUAGUGGCACACAAUAAACUCUACAGCUGAGCAAAUCAGUGUUUCUAUAUUGAAAAGGUAUCAAAUACAUGAUGGGAAAGUUGUUGAUUUUAGUGACAAACACAGACAAUGGAGAGCUUUAGCAUCUUUCAGCUCAUUGUUUUGGUUUCAUGACCCUAACUCAGGUAUCUUUGUUCACUUUCUCAUCUGCUGCAGCACCAGCAGGUGUUUUCAGGAUAAACCUACGAUUGUAUUUUACCUGACAAUCAUCAAAUGGCAGAGAGACAAGGUAAAAAAAGAGUUAGUAUGGGACUUAUGUUCAUCAAGUUGACAUGAGCAUAACUCCAUAGAAGUACUGAUACUGGUCAAUUGCUGAGAUUUUCACCAUAACAACCUUAUGAAAAUGUCAAUAUUUAUUGACUGCCAAGUCACAAUAAAUGAUAACUGCAUCUUUAGGCUUGUACAGGAUCCAUUAAGGUGGUUUUAAUGUUCCAGAUCUUUCUUCUAUGCUGGUAAAUUAUCUCUACACAUAAUGUAUGUUCUCUUCCGACUCUUAUGCAUGACACGUUCCAGGUUAUGUUUCAUCAUUUCAUUGCUACUACAAGUACAUUUUGCCCUCUUCCAGGCUCUUCUUGACUCUACUUUAGCCACUGUGUCGUCCAUUUUCACAUAGUGUAUCUUUAAAUAAUCCAUGCUGUGUUUUCUAUAAAGUGUGUAUUUGCUUCUUUAAUCACCUUUCUUUGCCUGUUUUUGUGAAGUUGACCUUAUACCCAUACCUGUGCAAACCACAAUAAAUCUCAUCUCAUCCACCUCA
Long non-coding RNA from Acanthopagrus latus (yellowfin seabream), 1259 nucleotides. RefSeq lists it as uncharacterized. NCBI's taxonomy places the organism in Eukaryota, Metazoa, Chordata, Actinopteri, Spariformes, Sparidae. The transcript has 2 exons. The record is from RefSeq and is a predicted model, not a curated record.